CCUACGGGUGGCUGCAGUGGGGAAUAUUGGACAAUGGGCGAAAGCCUGAUCCAGCCAUGCCGCGUGUGUGAAGAAGGCCUUCGGGUUGUAAAGCACUUUCAGUGGGGAAGAAAGCCUUGGGGCUAAUACCCUCGAGGAAGGACAUCACCCACAGAAGAAGCACCGGCUAACUCCGUGCCAGCAGCCGCGGUAAUACGGAGGGUGCGAGCGUUAAUCGGAAUUACUGGGCGUAAAGCGCGCGUAGGCGGUCUGAUAAGCCGGUUGUGAAAGCCCCGGGCUCAACCUGGGAACGGCAUCCGGAACUGUCAGGCUAGAGUGCAGGAGAGGAAGGUAGAAUUCCCGGUGUAGCGGUGAAAUGCGUAGAGAUCGGUAGGAAUACCAGUGGCGAAGGCGGCCUUCUGGACUGACACUGACGCUGAGGUGCGAAAGCGUGGGUAGCAAACAGGAUUAGAUACCCCAGUAGUC
RNAcentral lists this ribosomal RNA (465 nucleotides) under Vreelandella stevensii. RNAcentral's name for it is "partial 16S ribosomal RNA". It matches the Rfam family "Bacterial small subunit ribosomal RNA", at positions 338 to 795 of the family's 1533-position model. Lineage: Bacteria; Pseudomonadati; Pseudomonadota; Gammaproteobacteria; Oceanospirillales; Halomonadaceae. The record is from RNAcentral.